RNAcentral lists this ribosomal RNA (330 nucleotides) under Klebsiella quasipneumoniae subsp. similipneumoniae. RNAcentral's name for it is "partial 23S ribosomal RNA". It matches the Rfam family "Bacterial large subunit ribosomal RNA", at positions 422 to 756 of the family's 2925-position model. Lineage: Bacteria; Pseudomonadati; Pseudomonadota; Gammaproteobacteria; Enterobacterales; Enterobacteriaceae. The record is from RNAcentral.
ACACGUGGUAUCCUGUCUGAAUAUGGGGGGACCAUCCUCCAAGGCUAAAUACUCCUGACUGACCGAUAGUGAACCAGUACCGUGAGGGAAAGGCGAAAAGAACCCCGGCGAGGGGAGUGAAAAAGAACCUGAAACCGUGUACGUACAAGCAGUGGGAGCACCUUCGGGUGUGACUGCGUACCUUUUGUAUAAUGGGUCAGCGACUUAUAUUCUGUAGCAAGGUUAACCGUAUAGGGGAGCCGCAGGGAAACCGAGUCUUAACUGGGCGUUAAGUUGCAGGGUAUAGACCCGAAACCCGGUGAUCUAGCCAUGGGCAGGUUGAAGGUUGGG